CGAACGCUGGCGGCGUGCUUAAUACAUGCAAGUCAACUUGACUUUAGAUAGCAAUAUCGAAAAGUAGGGUGGCGCACGGGUGCGUAACGCGUAGGUAAUCUGCCCUGAGGUCUGACAUAACCCGUCGAAAGGCGGGCUAACAUCAGAUGAUAUAUAAUCACGACAUCGUGGAAAUAUCAAAUCUUCGGAGCCUUGGGAUGAGCCUGCGUCUGAUUAGGUAGUUGGCGGAGUAAUAGCCCACCAAGCCUACGAUCAGUAGCUGGUCUGAGAGGAUGAUCAGCCACACUGGAACUGAGACACGGUCCAGACUCCUACGGGAGGCAGCAGUAAGGAAUAUUGCUCAAUGGGGGGAAACCCUGAAGCAGCAACGCCGCGUGAAGGAUGAAAUACUUUGUAUGUAAACUUCUGUAAGAUGGGAAAAAUAUUCUCCUCGGGAGAAUUGAUUGUACCAUCAGAGUAAGCCCCGGCUAACUACGUG
This 478-nucleotide ribosomal RNA is filed under the name uncultured bacterium. RNAcentral's name for it is "bacterial SSU rRNA". It matches the Rfam family "Bacterial small subunit ribosomal RNA", at positions 30 to 507 of the family's 1533-position model. The record is from RNAcentral.